AUAUAAAUUGUCGGUUGGAGAGAUGGCUGAGUGGUUUAUAGCCCCGGUCUUGAAAACCGGUAUAGUUCUAAAAACUAUCGAGGGUUCG
Molecule: transfer RNA, 88 nt
Filed under: Rheum officinale
Lineage: Eukaryota; Viridiplantae; Streptophyta; Magnoliopsida; Caryophyllales; Polygonaceae
Also listed under: 1 other name
Description: tRNA-Ser
Rfam family: tRNA (bases 17-88)
About the family: Transfer RNA (tRNA) molecules are approximately 80 nucleotides in length. Their secondary structure includes four short double-helical elements and three loops (D, anti-codon, and T loops). Further hydrogen bonds mediate the characteristic L-shaped molecular structure. tRNAs have two regions of fundamental functional importance: the anti-codon, which is responsible for specific mRNA codon recognition, and the 3' end, to which the tRNAs corresponding amino acid is attached (by aminoacyl-tRNA synthetases). tRNAs cope with the degeneracy of the genetic code in two manners: having more than one tRNA (with a specific anti-codon) for a particular amino acid; and 'wobble' base-pairing, i.e. permitting non-standard base-pairing at the 3rd anti-codon position.
Source: RNAcentral